GACGAACGCUGGCGGCAUGCCUAACACAUGCAAGUCGAACGGAGAUUCCUUCGGUAAUCUUAGUGGCGAACGGGUGAGUAACGCGUGGGCAACCUGCCCUCUAGAUGGGGACAACAUCCCGAAAGGGGUGCUAAUACCGAAUGUGACAGCAAUCUCGCAUGAGGAUGCUGUGAAAGAUGGCCUCUAUUUAUAAGCUAUCGCUAGAGGAUGGGCCUGCGUCUGAUUAGCUAGUUGGUGGGGUAACGGCCUACCAAGGCGAUGAUCAGUAGCCGGUCUGAGAGGAUGAACGGCCACAUUGGGACUGAGACACGGCCCAGACUCCUACGGGAGGCAGCAGUGGGGAAUCUUCCGCAAUGGGCGAAAGCCUGACGGAGCAAUGCCGCGUGAGUGAUGAAGGAAUUCGUUCCGUAAAACUCUUUUGUUUAUGACGAAUGUGCAGAUUGUAAAUAAUAAUCUGUAAGGACGGUAGUAAACGAAUAAGCCACGGCUAACUACGU
This 497-nucleotide ribosomal RNA is filed under the name uncultured bacterium. RNAcentral's name for it is "partial 16S ribosomal RNA". It matches the Rfam family "Bacterial small subunit ribosomal RNA", at positions 28 to 506 of the family's 1533-position model. The record is from RNAcentral.